CCGAUAGAGGGGAAUAACUACUGGAAACGGUGGCUAAUACCGCAUAAUGUCUACGGACCAAAGCAGGGGCUCUUCGGACCUUGCACUAUCGGAUGAACCCAUAUGGGAUUAGCUAGUAGGUGGGGUAAAGGCUCACCUAGGCGACGAUCUCUAGCUGGUCUGAGAGGAUGAUCAGCCACACUGGGACUGAGACACGGCCCAG
This 202-nucleotide ribosomal RNA is filed under the name uncultured bacterium. Its description in RNAcentral is "partial 16S ribosomal RNA". It matches the Rfam family "Bacterial small subunit ribosomal RNA", at positions 130 to 334 of the family's 1533-position model. The record is from RNAcentral.